This 451-nucleotide ribosomal RNA is filed under the name uncultured bacterium. RNAcentral describes it as "partial 16S ribosomal RNA". It matches the Rfam family "Bacterial small subunit ribosomal RNA", at positions 28 to 507 of the family's 1533-position model. The record is from RNAcentral.
GAUGAACGCUGGCGGCGUGCCUAACACAUGCAAGUCGAGCGGCAGCGAGGGGUGCUUGCACCCUGUCGGCGAGCGGCGGACGGCUGAGUAACGCGUGGGAACGUGCCCCAAAGUGAGGAAUAACUGCCCGAAAGGGUAGCUAAUACCGCAUAUUAUCUUCGGAUCAAAGGAUUUAUCCGCUUUGGGAGCGGCUCGCGUCGGAUUAGGUAGUUGGUGAGGUAAUGGCUCACCAAGCCGACGAUCCGUAGCUGGUCUGAGAGGAUGACCAGCCAGACUGGAACUGAGACACGGUCCAGGCUCCUACGGGAGGCAGCAGUGAGGAAUCUUCCACAAUGGGCGAAAGCCUGAUGGAGCAACGCCGCGUGCAGGACGAAGGCCUUCGGGUUGUAAACUGCUUUUAUAAGUGAGGAAUAUGACGGUAACUUAUGAAUAAGGAGCGGCUAACUACGUG